AAGUUACAUCUGUCAACACAGAAAAUUGCAUCUCAACAAACCUGUCUUUGGCAAGUACCUGAACUACAUUUCAGUCACUCAGUAAAGUGAUAACUCAAAAUAUCAUUGUCAACAGAUCUGAAGAAAUUGCCACUGCGUCUUUAGACCGUUUUCGUCAGACGAGAGACACAGUUCUGACUCUGAUUACUGGUUGCUGUACGUAUCUAUCCACAUCAAGGCUGUUUUUGAGAGAGACUCGUGAAGAUUCAAGACAGUUCUUAGAGGAUUUGCAGUUUAAAAGUGAAAUAAUUGUGAAAUAAGUGUGUGAAUGAUUAAACUGUGUUUUAUUGAAGUUGUUGUGCGAUUUUAAAGGAAUAAUAAAUGUCAA
This is a long non-coding RNA of Schistocerca cancellata (South American locust), 367 nucleotides long. RefSeq lists it as uncharacterized. The transcript has 3 exons. NCBI's taxonomy places the organism in Eukaryota, Metazoa, Arthropoda, Insecta, Orthoptera, Acrididae. The record is from RefSeq and is a predicted model, not a curated record.